RNAcentral lists this ribosomal RNA (467 nucleotides) under uncultured bacterium. RNAcentral describes it as "partial 16S ribosomal RNA". It matches the Rfam family "Bacterial small subunit ribosomal RNA", at positions 28 to 506 of the family's 1533-position model. The record is from RNAcentral.
GACGAACGCUGGCGGCGUGCUAAACACAUGCAAGUCGAACGGAAAGGCCCUGCUUUUGUGGGGUGCUCGAGUGGCGAACGGGUGAGUAACACGUGAGUAUCCUGCCCUUGACUUUGGGAUAACUUCAGGAAACUGGGGCUAAUACCGGAUAGGAGCUCCUGCUGCAUGGUGGGGGUUGGAAAGUUUCGGCGGUUGGGGAUGGACUCGCGGCUUAUCAGCUUGUUGGUGGGGUAGUGGCUUACCAAGGCUUUGACGGGUAGCCGGCCUGAGAGGGUGACCGGCCACAUUGGGACUGAGAUACGGCCCAGACUCCUACGGGAGGCAGCAGUGGGGAAUAUUGCACAAUGGGCGGAAGCCUGAUGCAGCAACGCCGCGUGCGGGAUGACGGCCUUCGGGUUGUAAACCGCUUUCGCCUGUGACGAAGCGUGAGUGACGGUAAUGGGUAAAGAAGCACCGGCUAACUACGU